Podarcis lilfordi (Lilford's wall lizard) is the source of this 78-nucleotide non-coding RNA. NCBI's taxonomy places the organism in Eukaryota, Metazoa, Chordata, Lepidosauria, Squamata, Lacertidae. The record is from the annotation of a GenBank genome assembly.
GGUGUAGCUCAGUGGUGGUAGAACAAUUGCCUUGCAUGCAGAAGGUCUUAGGUUCAAUUCUUGAGUUACAGGGAACCA